RNAcentral lists this ribosomal RNA (623 nucleotides) under Tetragnatha squamata. RNAcentral's name for it is "bacterial SSU rRNA". It matches the Rfam family "Eukaryotic small subunit ribosomal RNA", at positions 1135 to 1778 of the family's 1831-position model. Lineage: Eukaryota; Metazoa; Arthropoda; Arachnida; Araneae; Tetragnathidae. The record is from RNAcentral.
AGCUGAAACUUAAAGGAAUUGACGGAAGCGCACACAAGAAAUGGGGCCUGCGGCUUAAUUUGACUCAACACGGUGCAACUCACCCGGCCCGGACACAGGAAGGAUUGACAGAUUAAGAGCUCUUUCUUGAUUCUGUGACAGGUGGUGCAUGGCCGUUUCUAGUUGGUGGAGUGAUUUGUCUGCUUUAUUGCGAUAACGAGCGAGACUCUAGCCUGCUAAAUAGGCUGCAGAUCAAUUUAAGUCUGCAGUUCUUCUUAGAGGGACAAGCGGUGUUCAGCCGCACGAAACUGAGCAAAAACAGGUCAGGAUGCCCUUAGAUGUUCGGGGCCGCACGCGCGCCACAUUGAAGGAAUCAGCGUGUACUUUCCCUCCCCGAUAGGGGUGGGUAACCCGUUGAAACUCCUUCGUGCUAGGGAUAGGAAAUUGUAAUUGUUUUCCUUGAACGAGGAAUUCCCAGUAAGCAUUGAGUCAUCAGCUCGUGUUGAUUACGUCCCUGCGCUUUGUGCACACCGCCCGUCGCUAUUAUCGAUGAAUUUUGGAGUGAGAUCAUCGGACCGGUUGUUGUUUAAGUCUAUUAGAUUUGGACGAUUGACUGGAAAGAUGACCGAACUUGAAUAUUAGAG